Molecule: long non-coding RNA, 3098 nt
Organism: Epinephelus fuscoguttatus (brown-marbled grouper)
Lineage: Eukaryota; Metazoa; Chordata; Actinopteri; Perciformes; Serranidae
Exons: 4
Source: RefSeq, a predicted model, not a curated record
GUGUGUGUGUGUGUGUGUGUGUGUGUGUGUGUGUGUUUAUGGGAAAAAGAGGCAGGUAUUCACAGGUCUCGGCUUUCUUCCUCUUCCCUCCUUUCUUUUGUUACAGAUUCCCUCACUGAAAGAGGAACUUCAGAUUCCUUUUCAAAGACCCGGGACCUUUGGCACACACGCAGACACCUGGACAAACUGCAACUAACAUUUAAACCCCACAACUUUAUUUUUAAGACACCACAUCUGCAUUCUUUUCUUCUGGUGUGGCCUCCUUCCUUUCAUCUCUCUCCUCUCCUAUUCUCCUUCCACUUAGCACUCCCUCUCUUUACAGUCCAUUUUCUCCCUUCCUACCACUCCCUUCUCUACGAUGGCAACUUCUAUUCCUCCUCCCCAACCGAGAGGCAUCGACUUCAGCCUGCCGACCUGCGGAGAAAUUCAGUGCAAUGACCACGGUACCUGUGUGCCUCCUCUGGGUGGUGGCACUGAGAUGGUGUGCGAGUGUAUGCUGGGCUACCAGGGAGAAUUCUGCGACGAAACAGUCAACGGGGCGCUAAGUAUACCGCUGACCCUGACUGUGCUGGCCGUCAUCAUCGGGAUGCUGAUUGUGGCUUUCAUUGUUGCCAAGAUGAGGCAAAAGCAAAAGAAAAGACACAGGAAACUUAUGGCACAAAAAGAGGGAUACAACAUCGCUGUGUAAUGUGGAUAAAUCUCCAUUGUGCCUGAGGUUAACCAUGACAUUGUGGCCAGUGACACUCCAUCAGCAUUCUUCUGCAGCUUCUGCUUAUAGCACAGUUUGUUGAAUUUUGUAAAAAGGAAAUUACAUCUACUACUCUUGAUGGCUGACUUGUGGAUACUCCUCUUUGACUGAUGCUGCAGCAUCCCAGAAACCCAAACACUGAACUGAAUGGAGCUUUAAGAGUGACACAACUUCACUGCAGUAAUUGUGUUUUUCAUGUAUCAAUUCAUGAUGGAAAAACUGCACAGUAUAUCCCCAAACACAUGAUUAAUUCAGGACAUGUAUCACAGAGCUUUAAAGCUGAUAAUUUAGACAGGAAAUAGAUGCCUGACUUGCAGUAUGUUUACAGGCAUGGGUAUAACACUGGUAUUUUGUUAAGCUGUCUUUACUAGAGUGUUUACCUCACGAACGCAGCCGAGGCUUCAAGCUGUUGUUGAAACAAGACAUUUGCUGUUUUUCAUCUCUACAGCAGCAUACAUUUAGGGAUAACACCUUUGUGUCCAUAUUUCCGUAUAGUAUACAGUGUACUCUCCAAGUGUUUAACGCAAAGAAAUGCAUCUCUUUACAGAUGGAUAAAAACAGGACCGCAUAAACAGCAGAAAAGUAAAUUCUGACUGUUUUUUACCAUCCAGUCUUUUUAUUUUUAUUAACCUUUAUUUAUACAAGUAAAAUCUCAUUGAAACCCAGGGUCUCAUUUACAAGAGAGACCUGUUCCAGGUAGGCAGCAGCAGAACACAAAGUUACAGACUAACUGAGCAUACAGGAGACACAACACAAAACACAAACAUUAAAGUAGUAUAGUGCAAACUACAAAGUGCAAAGAAGAAUAGGACUGGUUAAGCACAUGUGCAGACCCCCACAGUCUGUCUCAUCAGCCUUCCUACAAGCAAUUUGAAGUCCCCUAAAGGAAUAAAGCUGGACAGCUUCAGCCUCUGCUGGAGCACGCACAAAGAACUUUAGGCAGCGGUGCGCUCUUCCACUGCGGUAGCACAUACACAAUGAAUGGGUUUGUCGGCGGAGGUCUGCGCUUUGUGCACUCUGUGUGAAAAGGGCUUUAUUUCCACCCUGCCCAGCAGCGGUACCGUGGCGAACGGUCCCUAAAGGCCUCUACACAUGAUCAGCUGUAAAAUGUUAAUGUACUUUCAGGACCAGAAAAAAAACAAAAGGAAGAGUUUUGCAAGCAUAUCAGAGAUUACAAAGGUUCAUAACAGAAACGUAACUGUUCAAUUAUUAUUGGAAAAAAAGAGGACAUUUUUCAUUGAAAAUUGAUAUGUGAAAAACAACAAUUUAGGAAUGAGGUUUUGUCACUUCAGUUAUUUUCUUAUUAGUGCAAUAAUAAUGUUCUAGAUUUCCUUUUUAGUGCCCUGUAUCCAUUACCAGCUUUUUUAUAUUUUUUACUUUAAUACUCGUCGUGUUAUUUAUAGAAUUUUGAUGCGUUAUUGUGGCUACCUAUAGAAUAUUAAAUAAUUGUACAAGACGUAGAUGCAACCAUUUUGUUAUUGUGGGCAUAAUCUUUGACUUCUUACGUACUGAAUUUGUCACUCUGCAAGAAAUGAACAGACUUUAAUGGAUUAAAUGAUCACGUUCGCCGUUUGAGAGCCCAGUGAGAAAUGUCAUGAUUUGUCUGUACCGCAAUUCUACUUCCUUGAUCACAUUUCCUAUAUGAAGAAGCUUAUUUCCAUAGAUGAGCUGAUUGUGUCCUUUAUCACCGGCUACCUUUGCACAAUGAUGCAAAUGUUCACCUAUCACUACUCUCUUUGACGAAACAUAGCUUCCUUUUAAAUACAGAGAAAGCACUGGUGACUGCGACAGUGAUGGUGAUUCUUAUUGCCGUGUUUUUGUACACAGGAAGGAGUGUGUUUAUACAGGUGUUGAAAACCAAAAAUGGUUUCCAUAUCACGAGGGGUAAGCCAGGGAUUUUAACCAGAUUUGAUCUGUCAUUACCUUUUGAUGAAGACUUUAGUCUUUACUCCGUCCUUAGUUACUUUGAAGAGUGUAGCCAGUGUUAAGUGCUUUUAUGUGCUGUAUUGUCUGUUUCUUUUGUACACUACUGACUGAAUUACUAUGCUGUGUAUGCCUGUAUUCUAUUGAUAGCAAAAUAUAUAUAGCCUAUGAAUAUAUAUAUAUAUGAUCUUGUCUUUCUCUCUGUAUUUGUGUUGCUGGAUUACACAGUAAUUCAUGUAGUCAGACUGCAUAUAACCACUGAACAUUGAUUGUGGAGGAGAUUUUGAUGACUGUCGUAUCAUCUGCAAACAAUCUUAAUCCUCUGGCAUUUAUGAGGCUGUAGAAUAAAAACUGUGUACCCAGGUGUGUGUGUUGGGCACACUGAGCAUGUACAUUUUUGUAUAUAAACAGAGUGUAAGUUGCUGAA